UGUUAUGGACACACACAUGCACAGCGAUC
This 29-nucleotide non-coding RNA is filed under the name Mus musculus (house mouse). The record is from RNAcentral. Lineage: Eukaryota; Metazoa; Chordata; Mammalia; Rodentia; Muridae.